Molecule: ribosomal RNA, 253 nt
Filed under: uncultured bacterium
Lineage: Bacteria
Description: partial 16S ribosomal RNA
Rfam family: Bacterial small subunit ribosomal RNA
Source: RNAcentral
UACGAAGGGGGCUAGCGUUGUUCGGAAUUACUGGGCGUAAAGCGUAUGCAGGCGGAUCGUUAAGUCGGGGGUGAAAUCCCGAGGCUCAACCUCGGAACUGCCUUUGAUACUGCAAAUCUCGAGUCCGAUAGAGGUGGGUGGAAUUCCUAGUGUAGAGGUGAAAUUCGUAGAUAUUAGGAAGAACACCGGUGGCGAAGGCGGCCCACUGGAUCGGUACUGACGCUGAGGUGCGAAAGCGUGGGGAGCAAACAGG